ACAAGAAUUUUAAAAGCUUUACAGUGCAUUAAUAAUAUACAUUUUAUUAUAAUACACUUUUAUGUUGUUCAGCUGACAUUGAAGUCAACAUAAAAUCGAAACUGACCCUAUUUACUGAUUACAAGUUCCUGGUCUUUUUUUCUCAUUCGGUCUGUCUCUGCUGCGUUAUGUUACUAUUCAAAAUCCAUCAAUUCCCACAAUUUAUCAAUUCUCAGUAGAUAAAAUUAAUUCCUGUCCUACAUGGUUUUCUCUCUCUUUCUCUCUCUCUCUUUCAAUAUCCAGAAGUGAAUUGGGGCAAUUUAAACAUUGCCCCACCUAAUAUUAUGUUUUGUUUUGUUUGGCUUGCUUUGUUUUAUUUUAUUUAGUUUAUUUUGUUUUCUGUUUUUUUUUUUUUUGUCUUUUUUUUUGUCUUUUUGUUUUUACUUUGACUAAGCACAUUGCCCCACCCUAUGAUUUUGUUUUGUCUUUUGUUUGUUUUGUUUUGCUUUGCUUUGUUUUUUUUUUUUACUUUGACUAAGCACAUUGUCCCACCUAUUACUUAGUUUUGUCUUUUUUUGUUUGUUUUGUUUUGCUUUGUUUUUCUUUCUUUUCUUUUCUUUUCUUUUCUUUUCUUUUUCUUUCUUUCUUUCUUUCUUUCUUUCUUUUUUUUUUUAACAUUGACUAAGCACAUUGCCCCACCCUGUUAUUUUGUUUUUGUUUGCUGUGCUUUGUUUUUGUUUUUACUUUGAUUAAGCACAUUGUCCCCAGCCCCCCACCCUAUUAUUUUAUGUUUUGGUUUGUUUUUUGUUUAUUUGUAUAUGAAUGUUUAAGCACAAAAAUAGCAUAUGCACUAAAAGUGUGUGUUUGAAUGUAUGUGAAUAUGGUCCUCAUUCCUCAUGUGGAGUCACAGCAGGCUUCAUCUUCCAAAAUUCAGUUGCUCUGAUUUGAAGCUUUAAGAUGGAGAUUUCAUGAGCUUACAUCUGAAGUCUUUCCCUCACCCCAUGUGAUCGUGGUCAAACACUCCAAAAGGAAUAGCAAAUGUCUAGAAGCAGUGUACUUCCUUUUAACUGAAGGUGAGAACAGGACCUUUAAAACACCAAGUUUAGUUAAGGUUUCACAGUAGCAGAAUACACAGAUACACCGCUGAGUUUUGUCUUUCUUUGAUAUUUAUUGGAGCUGGUGAUCAAAACGUUUUAAUCAAUUUAAUUACAUAAUUUGCUAAUAAAUUGAUCAAAUUACUUCCAUAUGAUUGGGAUUAGGACAUGCCACUUCUGAGCAAACAUUACAAAUUAGGACAUUAUUUACAUAAUUUGUGAACAAACUGAACAAAAUGAAGCAGAUUCAGUUCAGAUUCGUUUACUGAUUCAUUUUCCUGACACCAUGUCUGACACUGUUGUCACGUUGCAUCGCGCUGCACCGCAACAGCUUAAAGCUGUCUACACUGGAUGCGACAAACCAACCAUUGCAAUGCACAUGGACUAUGUCAGAAAUAGAACGGGGAAUCCGUUUACUGUCGGGUAUUCGUUGUGUCGCGUCGCGCCGCAUCCUGUGUAGACAGUAUCAUGGAUUAUAUUGUCUUUUGAUGCAUUGGUUCACGCUGCUCACAUCUGGUGUAGACACGUUAGUUAGGUUUUUUGCUAAAGAGAAUCCUAUAGAUUGGAGUGACUGGGAUGACUCAAAAUUCCUGCUACUGGUAUUCAGAGUUUGCACCAGGUCCUUGAAGUACUUCAGGUGUGAUGCCACCCUCUUUUUCACCUAAUAAUACAGCAGGGAAUGGACGAAACAAGUGUCGAUAUGUUGCUCUGUCGUGUCACACCUGAAGGCAUUCUCGCACUUAAGAGACCGAAAUACCUACAGUAGCACACAGUAUGCUGUCAGAAGUAGAGAUGCACUGAUACUAAAUUUCUCUGCCCAUACCGAUAGCCAAUUAUUCAGAAUGAUAUUAGCCAAUGCCGAUACCGAUAGUUUGAUUUUUCUUAAGGAAAAAAAAAUCUCUCCCAAAUAAUGCUGCAAACUAUACAGGGAACCCUCUCAUUUGAUACACUAUAAUAUUAGAGGUUACAAUUGACCGUUCGAAAAUACCUGCCCUCUUUAGUUACUGUUGCUAUGUCCAUUAAGCCAUGCCAUUCUCACACCACACAUCAUUUUAUCAGUGAAAAAUAUACAGCGCGGAGCAAAGAGGACACUGAAAAUGCGUCGACAGACAAGACAGAGCAGGUUACUUUUAAUAUGAAACAAAGUCUCAAAUUUCAAAAUUUGUAAUUUUUAAAGAAAUUUAAACAAUAAAUACUGUUUUGUGGCUCUUUAAAAAGUCCUUGAAAGUCCUUGAAUCAGGUGUUCAUGAAAGAGUGGGAACCCUGACUUUAUUUACACUGCUUUCCACAAAGGACCUUGGACGUGCAGGCAUGAGAAUUGCCCGAUUGUCUAUGCGUCUGGUCUGUUUUAAUUACAGCGUGGAAUACAAACCUGGUCGAGACUGGCUAUCCAGACUUCCACUUCUAAGCAGCUGAUAACAGCCAAAACCAAGAGCCUCAGAUGGUGGCUGUACUGUCUCCUGACUUUGCAGCUUUUACUGUAGAGUAGCUGAAGUCUAUGUGUGAUGCCUGUACUAUCCUUCAACAGGUAAAGGCUUGCAUUGAAAAUGGGUAGCCUCGUAAUGCAAAAAGCUUGAAUUCUGCUAUUGCACCAUAUCAUCAUCUCUGGAAUGAGAUGGCUAUUCAAGAUGGGUAUGUCAUCAUCCAGUAGGCACAUGCCACUCAUAAAGGGAUAGUGUGCAUAAAGUAGAGACUGAGGGACUUAUUUUGGUGGCCUGGCUUGGAUUUUUAUGUGGAAAAUGUUAUCAAAUCCUGUUCCACCUGCCUCCAGCAUGAUAAAACUGCCUAUUCCAGCAACUGCUUGGGAGAAACUGGCUAUUGAUGUAGUUGGGCUUUUGAAUAAUGUUCCUCAAGGCUGUUGCUUUGACAUGCUAUGACACUCGUUGAUUACUACAGUAAAUGGCCAGAGAUUGCACCUGACGUUACUUCUUCAACUAUUGUAAAGUUUCUGUCUGCUGUGUUCAGCCUUAAGGGAAAUCAGCUUGAACUUGUAACCGACAACAGAUCAAAAUUCGUUUCAGCUGAGUUUGAGGCAUUCUUUGCAGACAGAGAUAUUAAACACUACCAUAGCUCCUUUUAUUAUCCACAAAGGAAUAACAUUUUUUUAGCUUUUUAUUUAGUAUAUCACCAACCUACCUCUAUCCCAUGACAGUUUUCCAGCAUCCCUCUACCACCCCAACUCCUCAUUCUUAAACAUUUCCUAUUCCAACCAGGGAUGAGGCGAGUACUCUGGGUUCAGGCCAAAUUCCUAGCCUGGAGCCCUCCCGUCAGACAGCAUGCCAAAUAUGUGUACUUUUCUAUAUCUGAUUAUAUGUAAGGGUGAACUUGUGAAACCAUUAUUACUGAUGCUGUCUACACCGGAUGCAGAAAAAUGUGAUGUUACACAACAAAUUCCUGACUGUUCUGAUUCUAUUUCUGACGUAGCGCUUGUGCCACUUCUGACAUGAAGAACAAAAACAUUUGCAACAGUUGCUUUGUCGUGUCCAGUGUAGACAGCCUAAAGCUGUGCUCACACUACCAGAGAAAUGCAGCAACAAAACGACAAUGAUCCCAUUCAUUUCACUGAAAAGCUAGCGAUUUCUGGCAACAGUGAUCGCUGGCAACAGGAUGAAGUCAUGUCCAGCGACAUGACAAAGUUGAGAUAUGUUUAACUUUAUGCAAAUGAAGAGUGACUUUUGGGAGCGACAACCAAUAGGAGUGGUCAGUGGAGCGCACAUGAUCCAUCACUGUAGUGCAGGGGCUCUCAAAGUGUCCCCAUAGCCAGGGGGUCUGCGAAAUAAAUUUAGGGCCCUAUGAUUUCCACAAUGCGGAAAAGGCAGGUGGAAUCACAGAAUCCAGUCAUAAAAACAGAAUUUACAGUAUAAUGCUGAAUGUCACAGAAUUUGGCAAAUUUUGGAUGAAUAUAUCAAAAGUAGGACUGUACACUUUACGUGAAGUUUUUGAUAUGCACACUAGUGUGAAUAUUAAAGCAAAAAAAAAAAAGACAAUUUAAAUAUGAAGUCGGCAUGUUUUCUGUGUCUUUGUGUGAAUGAGCACAGCAGGUGAGCAGUUUCAUCUAAUACACAUACUCAGACGAGAUAGCGUCUGUCGCCUCACUAUAUAUGGACACAUGAACUUAAUCUCCAGAUCUGGUCUGAGAGUCACUUGCAUUUCAACAUUUAAUUUGAUAAAACUAUCAUAUGCAUGCAGAACCUGCGCAGCUAAGGAAUAGAAGUACUAAAGAUUCUACGCUCAAAAGACCACAGCAGAGACAGUGAUAGUGUUGGAAGACUAUAGAGUCGCCCUCGGGGUGAGGCUGUAAUACUCGGAGUAAGUAUUAAUGAUCCUGUGUCGGACCAGAGUACACCUGAGUGUAUAGAUGCUAAAGACCUGUGUGCUCAUGUGUGAUUGAGGUAGUGAUAGUAGCUUCUUGACGAGACGAAGUACUGGAAAUGUAUUAGAAGUAUUCGAGAAGGGAAUUACCUCGAGAUACUGUAGUAUUAUAUUGUAUUAUAUUUGGGAUGGGAAUUACCUCGAAGGUACUGUUGUACUGUAUUGGUACUGUAGUACUGUAUUGUAUUAUAUUCGGGACGGGAAUUACCUCGAAGGUACUGUAGUACUGUAUUGGUACUGUAGCAUUGUAUUACAUUAUAUUGACAACUGGAGGUCGUUUGAAUUGUAAGUGGUGAAGUCAGAUUAGUAUUGGGAAUUUCCACGACAGGUCUCUGACCCCAAAACAUUUGAGAUCCUCUGCUGUAGUGGAGUGUUGGCAGCAUUAUGGAGGAAAAGCAAUUAUAGCAGUCAGCAAAUUUCCUAUAAUUUAUUAUAGGCCUAUGUCUCUGUGUACAUAUGGUGGUACUUGCCAUACUGACUCUGAGCUUGGAAGGUUUCGUGAACAUAGAUAGACCAGCACUUGCCUUGUGCUUUCGUUGCAGAUAAAUAGCCGCGAUGACAAAGAACACUCAGUUUUCCUCGUUCAUCUUUAAUAUUAAACAUUUUAUGUACUGAUUCCAUUAAUAUUUAGUCUUUUCCCUCAAAAAAAAAAUUGUUUUUAGCAAAAAGAAAGCUGAUUCGGUGUCUGCAACAUGGAAUUCCUGUUGAAAAACCAGAAUAUGCUGGUUAGGUAUGUUUUGAAGCAUGGAAUCUGGUUUGAGCUGGUUUAUGUUGGUCCUUAGCUGGUCCUAAGCAACUAGCUCCAGCUCAGGACCAGCACUUGACCAGCUUAAACCAGCUCAUGACCAGCAUAACAUACCUAACCAGCAUUUGCUGUUUUUUUUUUUUUUGUUUGUUUGUUUUCAACAGGGAUAACAUCAGUGAAUCUCAUUCAUAAAUGCAGCUAGUAGUUGUUGCAUGCUGGCUUGACGUGAUAAUCCAAACAGAGAGGCUUGACGCAGAAGAACAAUGAACUCACAUUUAAUAAAACUCACAUUGCAGUUUUAGAGUCUAAAUUAUUUUGUUAAAUAUAUAUUUUGUAUGAAAUAAAAAAAAGUUUAGUGCCGUACAUUUGCUUUACAGUAAACUUAAGCUAACUUAAGCUUUAACAGACCAAACUUAGGUCUGUUAAAGACCCCUGGUGUGAACAUUUAAUAAAACCUAUGAACAAAAAAACAAAAAAAACAAAACAAAACAAAAAAACACUUGCAAUGAGGAUAAACAAGUUUUGUGUUGACCACAAUGAGCUAGUGGUGUAUAGGCUGCAGAGAGCAAUAAACCACCAACAGUCAAGCAACACUUAGAAACCAAACACUAUGCAGAAAAUGUCAAACUAAAAAUUCAGUUUUUCUAUUUAGCUUUUUUCACGUUAGCAAUUUUGCAUGUUUGUGGAUCUAUGCACUUCAUUGUAAGAUAACACAUUUCAAAGUUUGAUUUUUGAUAAUUGUGUAUAAUAAACUAUUUUGGUUCUGUGUUGAGUUGCCACAAGAUGUCCAAUGUAAAAUCUGGGUUCUGAAGUAAGUACCAGAGAACAAUUGAUAUAACUAUGUGCCAUAUAACCAUAAAAGAAUAGUUCAUAGCACUGAAAGCUAAUUAAAUUGCAAAAUAACUACAAGAUGUGGUCAGUGCAAAUAUGACUUCAACUUCCUCUUGAUGCGGCUGAAAUUCCCCUCUUGAAAGUAAAGUUUCCUCUCAGUCACAGCAGAAAUCCAGACUGCAUCAUGUUGAAGUGUUUUAUCAUCAUGAAGAUCAUGCAGCUUCAUCUCUAUCUGCUGAUAUGGUGUGAAGCUGCAGAGACUUUAACAGAUCAACUAACAGAUUUAGGUGAAAAUGUGACUAUAAACUGUGAUCUUGAUGAAAAUGAGGUUUAUUGGUUAUUACUAAAACUUCCAGAUUCUCCAGUUCUGAUAUUACUCUCUACCACACCUUCAACUACUUUUCACUACAAUCUAACCUUUGAGCAAAAAUAUUUAGUGCAAAGUAAACACAAUCUCCUCAUAAAAAAUGUCACCAUUGAUGAGUUAGGAGUUUAUUACUGCGUGACCACCAAAGACAUACAACCAAAAUACAGCGACGGCACAAGACUGCACAUCAUUGUACCAACUUCAACUCCAGAGGUCCAGAAUCAUACAGCGGUGAAGUGCAUUGAGAAGAAUCAGACACAUUGGCUGGUUAUUAUCCUCAUAUCUGCUCUGUUGAUCGCUGUUCUGAUCAUUGUGAUCACGGGACUAGUAAAGUUGUUUGUUCUUGGAAGCAAGAGAACCAGAGACAACUUGAAACAGUCUCAAGAUACAAACUUACAACAGCCUCAAGUCAUGGAUCCUGAACAGCCACAAGACUUAACUCAUGUGCAGUACGCUACAGCAGACUUCUUCCACACCAUGUAAAAGGUUUCAGCCCAGACAAAUAAACAGCACAAAUGAACUUCUACAGCUGCCAGAAUCAAGAACACAUAAUCAAAUCUGACACCAUUUAGUUUCUGUUCUCACUGUAUUUGAAAAAGUAUCACGUAUUGCAUAACUAUAUAUAGAUCUAUUUAAUCUGCAUAUUUAGCUCGCUAGUUAUUUUUUACCCCAAGGGUUAUGCAGAAUAAGAAUAUUAAAGUGAAUUGUAAGUUAUGGUCAAUACUUGCUUAUCUUGGAUGUAAUAUAGUUAAUAUCUGUAAUUACUUGUCACUUUAACUCUCAAUGUUGUGAUUUCAUUGUUUUUAAGUGUGUACUCUUACAUUGCUAGAAAUAUGUUGUAAUGUUGAUAAAUUUCUAUUUGAUUUGUGAUAAACAAUAGCAUUGAGUUUGCAGGCAGAUGUUGAAUGUGAAUUAUAUAGACCGGAAGUCAAACAACAGAACAACCUCAAAAUGUACAGUUUGGUUUAGAAAUGUUUUGCUUGAUAUUCUUAUUUGUGAUAACUUGCUAAUUGAUGGUCAUUCAGUAUUCAGAUAUCUUUGUUUAAAGAGUGAUAAACAUUAAACUGAUUUCCAGUGCUA
Molecule: long non-coding RNA, 7468 nt
Organism: Ctenopharyngodon idella (grass carp)
Lineage: Eukaryota; Metazoa; Chordata; Actinopteri; Cypriniformes; Xenocyprididae
Exons: 5
Source: RefSeq, a predicted model, not a curated record